Molecule: ribosomal RNA, 497 nt
Filed under: uncultured bacterium
Lineage: Bacteria
Description: partial 16S ribosomal RNA
Rfam family: Bacterial small subunit ribosomal RNA
Source: RNAcentral
GAUGAACGCUGGCGGCGUGCCUAAUACAUGCAAGUCGAGCGAACAGACGAGUAGCUUGCUCCUCUGAUGUUAGCGGCGGACGGGUGAGUAACACGUGGAUAACCUACCUAUAAGACUGGGAUAACUUCGGGAAACCGGAGCUAAUACCGGAUAAUAUUUUGAACCGCAUGGUUCAAAAGUAAAAGACGGUCUUGCUGUCACUUAUAGAUGGAUCCGCGCUGCAUUAGCUAGUUGGUAAGGUAACGGCUUACCAAGGCAACGAUGCGUAGCCGACCUGAGAGGGUGAUCGGCCACACUGGAACUGAGACACGGUCCAGACUCCUACGGGAGGCAGCAGUAGGGAAUCUUCCGCAAUGGGCGAAAGCCUGACGGAGCAACGCCGCGUGAGUGAUGAAGGUCUUCGGAUCGUAAAACUCUGUUAUUAGGGAAGAACAUAUGUGUAAGUAACUAUGCACGUCUUGACGGUACCUAAUCAGAAAGCCACGGCUAACUACGUG